Molecule: non-coding RNA, 929 nt
Organism: Xiphias gladius (swordfish)
Lineage: Eukaryota; Metazoa; Chordata; Actinopteri; Istiophoriformes; Xiphiidae
Source: the annotation of a RefSeq genome assembly
GAAAACUGCAUCAGGAUGAUGUCUCCAUUAACUCUGAUUGUGGUGUUGGGUUUUCUGAGUCAGGAAUCUUCUGCCAACAAUUUUCUGACUCAGACUGACAAAUCCAAGUCUGUUAGUCUUGGUGGGUCUGUGACCAUCAGCGCCACAGGGAGUUCGAAUAUUGGUGCUGAUCUCAGUUGGUACCUUCAGAAACCUGGACAGGCUCCAAAACUUCUUAUAUACACUGCAUCAACUCGACCUUCAGGAACUCCGUCUCGAUUCAGUGGCAGUAGAUCUGGUUCUAGCUACACUUUAACCAUCAGUGGUGUUCAGGCUGAAGAUGUUGGAGAUUACUACUGUCUUGGUGCCCAUGGUGGUGGAGUGUUCACUUUCGGUGGAGGAACCAAACUCCUCAUUGACUUGGGUGUGGUGCGGCCCACCCUGACCGUCCUCCCCCCCCCCAGAGAGCAGCUGCAGCAGGGCAGUGCCACACUGGUGUGUAUGGCCAGCGGGGGCUUCCCCUCGGCCUGGAGGCUGGGCUGGAAGGUGGGGGGCAGCAGCAGCUCCUCGGGGGUCUCAAACAGCCCCGAGGACCUGGGGAAUGACGGCCGCUACAGCUGGACCAGCACCCUGAGCCUCACUGCAGACCAGUGGAGGAGGGCGGGCUCAGUGAGCUGUGAGGCCAGUCUGAAUGGACAGAGCCCUGUCAUUCAAACCCUGGACCCUGACCGCUGCUAAGAGUAGAGCUUCAGACACACUUCCUGUCUGGAAGUGAUGCUGCUUCUUUGAUAGAGAUCUCGAUGACGCUGCAGAUCUCCUCUCUUCAGAUAUUUCUGCAAACUCAUGACUCUGUUUUAAUGUGCAUGCAGCUUUCAGUAACUAAUCUUACUCAUGACCUGCUUCAUAGUGAUUAUUUUAGUGUCGUUCAAAAUUUUUAACUAUAAAAUAAA